This 678-nucleotide ribosomal RNA is filed under the name Triticum aestivum (bread wheat). Its description in RNAcentral is "partial small subunit ribosomal RNA". Lineage: Eukaryota; Viridiplantae; Streptophyta; Magnoliopsida; Poales; Poaceae. The record is from RNAcentral.
AUGGAACCCUAUGUUGGCAUGAGAUUUGACAGCCUUCAAAUUGCUAAGGAUCACUACAACAGCUAUGCACUACGGAUGCGUUUCUCUAUCAAGAUGAACACCUCUAGACGGACACCCCGCACCAAUGAAUUGAUAAAACAACAAUUUUGCUGCAACAAGUUCAAGAAGCCCAAAGCUGAUGAUGGAGGAGCUGAGGCUCCUCCUGUCCUGGACCCUAUUCCAGAUCCGAAAUCUGUUGACAUUGAUGAGGAGAUGGAAGAAGAACCUCCAAUAUUUGCUGAAGAGGAGACUGGUACUAGUAAGAAUAAGAAGAAGAAGAAGAAGAAGCGCAAACGCGAGACAAUAAAGCAGACUCAAUGCAAGGCGAAAAUGUUGGUGAAGCUGAUAGAUGGGCGAUGGGAGGUGACGCACUUUGUUCGUGACCACAAUCAUCCGCUCGUGAACAAACCUUCAUUGUCCAAAUACUUGAGAUCCCACCAAGGCAUCUCACCUGAUGAAAAGGAGUUUCUGCGCAUCUUGUAUAACUGCAACUUGACUACAAGACGUAUGAUGCAUGUAAUGGCAGAGUUCUAUGGAUCUGAGAUGAUGGUGCCGUUCGGACCAAGGGCAACAACAAAUCUGUGUACAAGUUUCCAUAGAGAUGACACAAAGGAGGGUGAUCUGAUUGAGACAAUUGCG